GACGUAGGGGGCCAGCGUUGUUCGGAAUUACUGGGUGUAAAGGGUUCGUAGGCGGUGUAGCAAGUCGGGAGUGAAAUCUCUGGGCUUAACCCAGAGGCUGCUUCCGAAACUGCUGUGCUUGAGUGUGGGAGAGGCGCGUGGAAUUGCAGGUGUAGCGGUAAAAUGCGUAGAUAUCUGCAGGAACACCCGUGGCGAAAGCGGCGCGCUGGACCACUACUGACGCUGAGGAACGAAAGCUAGGGGAGCAAACAGG
This 253-nucleotide ribosomal RNA is filed under the name uncultured bacterium. RNAcentral describes it as "partial 16S ribosomal RNA". It matches the Rfam family "Bacterial small subunit ribosomal RNA", at positions 524 to 776 of the family's 1533-position model. The record is from RNAcentral.